CCUGCACUGUUAUAACAUAAAAGGUUUUAUUUUUAUUUUUAAAGUUUGGUUUAUUGACUAUCAAAUUAAUAAGUCGGACGUUUUACUUUAAACCCGUGGAAAGGGGCGAACAGUUGAGUUGUAUGAAGCAAGAGGAUGCGUCUUCUAACUGGCACAGUGGCUGAUUUUACUUUGAAAACUUGACUGACUGUUAGCAUGGAGUCUGAAGUGAAGCACUCGUCCAGGGAUGUCGACGUAUUGUCCACUUGCAGCGAGGCGAGCUCGAUUUGCGACGAGGAAAGGAUCAGAAAGCUCUUUCAAGUCUGUGACAAAAACGGCGACGGGUAUAUCGACAGCAAUGACUUACAGUCUGUAUGUCAGGAGCUCGACAUGGAGGAUGUGCUUCAAGAUAUUUUAGUCGAAUUAGGGGCCGAUGAAAAUGGAAUGGUUUCAUUUGAAGAAUUUUUGCAAAAGAGACUAGCCCUGAAAUCUGACAUUAGGGCACUCAAGGACAGUGACAGUAAAUGCAGAGGGAAUGACCCAAAUCUAAGCAGCAGCGGGACAAGCUUGGGUGGACUAAGCGCCAGCAAGGAAAUGUGGGAAUUUGAUUCAGGCGCUCAUGAUCUCAGCCCGAUUCCUAACACCUUGCAAAGAUUAAUCAAACUGCCUGGGAAUUCGAUAGCUCCAAGCAGUUCGACAGGAAUUCUUGAGCUCGCCAACAAGCUUCAUAUGGCUGCUGUUGAUUCUUUACGCAGUGAACUUUCCCAACUGACUGCUCUGCUUGAGGAAGCUCGCCUUGAAUUCCACACUUUGAAAAAGGAAAUAGAGAGAUGUCAAGACUACAUGGUUGAAUCAAUGAGGGAAACUUAUGAAGAACAAAUCACUGAACUUCAUUCGGUCAUAGCAGAGCUGUCACGCAAAGUCGAAAAACAGUCUCAUUCUAUUAUUGAAGAAGAAACGACAUCUGAUGUUGAAUUAAAUCAGCCAGUUGAUUCGAAAGUCACUGAAGAAGAUGACAAUUCAGAAGAUAGCCACCUGCCUACUUUAUCAGAUGAAGAGAUUGUUUUGUUUAAGGAGAAAAAGCAAUGUGUCAACCCGGUUUCUCGUAAAAUUAAUCCAAAAAGUGUGACUAACUUGCCGCCACGAUUGACUAAAAUUCCUUCACAAGAAGCUGAUAUAGAAUAUUGGAAGGCAUUGUACCACAAAGAAAAGGCUGAUGCAGUAAUAAUAGAAGCACAUAAUCAAACAAUCACAGCGAAAUUAAACCAAAUGUCCUUGCUUUUUGCUCAACAUGAAUCAUCUGUUUAUGCAUACGAUGUUGCAUUAACAUUAGCCAGAGAAGUUAUCGAUCAGUAUUCACAGUUGGAUUCUUACAUGUAUUCAGCCUGGCCUAAAAAAGUGAAGAGACCAAAAGAAGAACAGGGUAUUAGAGAAAAUUUAAACAAGAAUGUGACCAAGCUGGAAAAAAUUCUAGCCAACCUUACACCGUUUAAAUUUUUCAGCGAGUCCAAUACAUUCGAAGUACCGACUUAUGAACCAAAGCCCAACAUUGAUAUAGAAGCUGCAAUUCUAACUCAAUGCUUAAUGCAAGAAAGAGUUGAACAAAGAGAGACAAGGCAAAAACUUAUUCAAGCGCUAAAUGAUUACAAAAGCUUGCAACAAAAAUUACAAAAAAUCGAGGGCUCGGACAUAAAUUUGCCUCGUGGAAGUGCAAGCAAUAAGCAUUAUGUGAACCGUGAAAAGUCAGAUGAUGUCGAAGUCAGUAUUGAUCAAGGCAAAGUAGAUCUACUCCCGAGUCUGCAAUACUUUGAAAAGACUGGAAAGGUGAAAUUGCUUGAGAACUCGUUCACGCAGCUUGUAACUCAACAGUCAGAACAGGUUAUGAUAUUGAUGAGAAGAAUACAGUACUUGGAAAAUUCUUUGGCCAAAUGUGAAUCCCCGUUGAAAUCGUGAUUUUAUCUCCGUGACAAUACAAGCUUCACUAUAACUGUAUAAUAUAUUUUACUUUGGUACUGUUACAUUCUAAGUAAUGAAAUGUUUUCUGUGCCUGAAUUAGUAGGGGGAAGCCUUUAAAACGCAAAGGAAGAGUCGCACAUAUUGAGAUUCCCGACAUUAAGUGUCGCACUCUUCUUCCUUGAUCGCUGCGGAGACCUCACGCGCAGUAGUCGUCGUACAUCAGCUUCAUCGUCGUCUGAUUGAAGCGUGUCCUUGAUGUGUGGCUCCCUUGCAGUAACCCGGGUGACCAUCUGUGCGAGUGUCGUGUCCGAUAGGCCGAGGCUUCUCAGGAACUCCGCUGACUGUCGGCAGAGGGCUCCUCUCCACGAGACGGUGAGUGUGCUGACCUCGACGUUGGCCGUCCCCAGUACUGCCGCCGCCUGUCCAGUGAGGUCGUUGUUGCUCUGGUAUUUUUCCGCCUUCUGCCGAUGCACCGCACUGAGAGGAGGUCCUGCCGCGACGACCUGAACGUCUACGAUGUAUCCGAGUCCGUCCCUCGUCGCCAGGAGGUCCGGCUUGAACCUCCCGGUCGCCAUCGAGAAGAAGUGUUCAAGGAGAACCGUAUACCCCUUCUGCUUCAGCCGUCCGGCGAGUGCAGCUACCACGGCGUCAUGUUGAAGAAUUCUUCCGCCGUGGGUACGCCAGCAACUCUGGACGACGUGCGCUGGGGUCUCGGUGGCGUCGCCACCAGCUCGGCAACGGAGGUUCCUUCCCUGGCAUCGCUCUCCCCUCGCUGUCCUGGUCCUUGUUGGGAGAACGUUGAUCCAUGUCCGGGUGUGCUGGAUGAAAUCCCUACCCGGGAUGCUGCCGCAGUUCCUCCAUAUCCACGCUGUGAACGCCUUCUCCUUCCUUGCCUCCCAUAGCGCCACUACUUACUCGUCGUACUUCUUGUAUAGCGUCUCUGCCCAGAAGCGCUGUCUCUGCUCCGGAGUCGAGUCUGUCGGGAGGCCCCUCUUCCUCAGCUGUUGCCUGGCCCAUGCUACCCGCCUCUGGGUCGCUGUGCUCCCGAUCGCUGCCUGGACUGCUGCACUUCCAUCUUCUCGCUGUCUGUCCAGUCUUCUGGCGAAGCACCCUGGUAUGAAGGUCUCCAUGGCAGGCACCCCUAGCCCUCCAUCCCUGUUAGAGGCAUGGAAGAAGGCUUUCGGAGUGUCCUUGGGAAGACGCAGUCAUCCUCUCACCGCUUUCCUUAUUUGUCUAUCAAUGGCGGUGAGUCGGCCGGCUGUUGUCCUUCCUAGCACCAGGGCGUAAAACAGCCUUGGGAGCAAGUGCGACCUCAGGAUCUCUAGCCGCUGUUGCGGCUUGAGAGGGGCUCUUUGGACUCUCUCAAGGAGUGUCCCCAGUUCCAUUUCUAGCCUCAUUUCCCUUACUCCCGACGUACCGAAGUCAACCCCGAGAUAUCUCCACAUGUCCAGAACCCCGACUUGCGUCAGGGAUUCCCCGGACACAGAGAAUCGGGCCGACUCCACUAUUUUCAUCCUUUUAUUUUUACCGUUGGGUAUUAGGGAGAGUACUGUCGACCUCCCCGGGUUCACUUCGAGACCAUACCUGGACGCUGAGGACUCGAAAGCCCCCAGCGCUGUCCGAAGACCAAGCUCUGUCGAAGAGUCCACUCAGUCCGCUAAUGCCAGGGCUCCGAUUCUGUGUCCUUCUAAGCAGUAACCAAUAUGGGGCGGGACCAACAACAGAAUCUGGUCCAUAAA
This 3674-nucleotide unclassified non-coding RNA is filed under the name Cimex lectularius (bed bug). RNAcentral describes it as "uncharacterized LOC106664089, transcript variant X2". The record is from RNAcentral. Lineage: Eukaryota; Metazoa; Arthropoda; Insecta; Hemiptera; Cimicidae.